AUGGAUGAUCUGGUUAGCAGCUCAUCUUUGAAGAGUGUCCUCAGCUGCAGUGAAGCGGAGGCUCAGCCGGAGGAGAGUUCCUGGACCGAUUACUUUGUGGAUUUCAUGAUGUCCGAGGAGGAGAAGAGACAAGGGGCCUCAUAUUGCAGUUUUGAUCAGGAGGAGGAGGAGGGCUCUAUGAUCUCCGAUGCCGCCUCCCUCGCUCCGGCGGCGUUGGCAGAUAGGUACAAGGGGCUCAAGAAGCUCAAGAAGAAAGUCUUCAAGGCCCUGGAUCAUGAUGAUUCCUUGGAGGAUACUGCAAGCUCUCCUGUCAAUAGCCCUAAGGUCAGUGCUUUGUCACAGCUGGAAUUCAGCCCUAAAAGAAGGUGCAAUGUUACGGACCUCGCCAAGGGGGCUGGGAUUGGCAACGAUUACGGGAGAGACGGAAUGGACUGUGAAGAUGCAGAUGCGGUGAUGGAAGGAGUAAGAUUUCUGGAUCAAAGCCAGAGGGGUAUAACUCCAUGUGCAGAGCUCAAGGACAAGGGGCUUUGUUUGGUUCCGUUGUCCAUGUUGCUGAACUACCAGGGCUAA
Molecule: ribosomal RNA, 570 nt
Filed under: Triticum aestivum (bread wheat)
Lineage: Eukaryota; Viridiplantae; Streptophyta; Magnoliopsida; Poales; Poaceae
Description: partial small subunit ribosomal RNA
Source: RNAcentral